RNAcentral lists this ribosomal RNA (494 nucleotides) under Asteropella slatteryi. RNAcentral describes it as "eukaryotic LSU rRNA". It matches the Rfam family "Eukaryotic large subunit ribosomal RNA", at positions 1483 to 1880 of the family's 3401-position model. Lineage: Eukaryota; Metazoa; Arthropoda; Ostracoda; Myodocopida; Cylindroleberididae. The record is from RNAcentral.
CUGGAGAUCUGAUGUGGAGAAGGGUUCCAUGUGAACAGCCUUUGCACAUGGGUCAGUCGGUCCUAAGCUGCAGGAGAAAUCCGGGUUUUGGCGAAUAGGCAUUUUAUGUUUUGUAUUCCUUUAGGAAAAUGUUUGCCUGUACAAAACCGUAGCAAGAGGGAAUCCGGUACUGAUUCCGGAACCUGGUCGCGGAUAACCCCUUUUUUUGAGGGGAUAGUUGGGGUCCUCGUGAUCUACACCGUAAGGUGGCUAAACUCGGGGAAGUCGGCUAUCGUCCCGGGCAGAGUUUUCUGUUCUGUAUAAGGGCCCGGAUCCCUGGAAUCGCCUCGCGCGGAGAGAGGGAACUGGUUUGUUUUUAGCCCGAAGAGCCCCGCAGUUCUUGCGGGGUCCGAUUGGACGGUGGUCGAACCAUGAAACAACUCGAGAGAGGGUCGUACACACUUUCGUGCCAGUCUGUCACCGCAUCAUCCGCAGCCGGUAUACAGCGGUGCACC